CAGGAACACUGCAGGAUUCACUGCAGGAGUCACUGCAGGAUUCACGGCAGGAGUCACUUCAGCAGCUGCAGAGGAAAAGUUAGACUUUGAAGAACAACAACAACAAGAACAAAAGGGUCGCUACUGGAAAAGGCCUUUUGUGUUCUGAGGAUGGUCCAGAGAAAGAACAGCUCAAGGUUUUAGUUUUUGUAGUUGUUACAGCCAUUUGUAUGUGUGUUCAGGUCAUUCCCCGAUUGCCACAGUAGGUGGCAUAUUGGACAGCAGCACAUGGAAAAGUAUAAAUCGAAGAAGAGGUAAUUACUCCUCGGGUGUGCUGCUUACCGGGAGAAGCACACAGUUUUUGACCGCCGCAGUUUAGAAGCUAAUUUUUAAGCCUUUUGUUUGUUUACAUGCAAGUUAUGGAUGUAAGUGUGUGCAGAGCAACGGCUGUAGUGGUACAUGGUGGUAAACAAACACAUCUUAAGCACAAGUCCACAGAUAUUUGAUUCACUGCGUGGAGCCACCACAUGAUGGCGUGUCAGUUACAUAUCUCAGUACCAGCACCUCACUGUGGCUUAGGUUUUUUUUGUUUGUCGACAUCAAGUCACUACAGUCGUAUAACUUCCCAAACCUGCCUUAAGCAGUUAUGAAAGUUCAAUGUUUUCAUUUCUGUGACCAAGUAUUUCAUUUUAAAAUAAUCAACAUGUUUAGUUUGGUAUUAUUGGGACAUGCAGCUACAUAUGGUUCAGAAAUUAUCACUGGCUGACUUCUGCUUGAUAAAUUUUUGUUGUUGUUAAUAUGAGCUCAAAGACUUUUCGUGAUGACUUCCUUUUUUUGUCAUAUUUCAACUCAUCCAUAGUCAGAGAUUAUUUGAUCUACUUUUCCAACAUUACAGAUUAUGACUCAGUGACAUGCUGAGAAAUAAAAGUAAAAAUUUCA
Molecule: long non-coding RNA, 918 nt
Organism: Stegastes partitus (bicolor damselfish)
Lineage: Eukaryota; Metazoa; Chordata; Actinopteri; Pomacentridae
Exons: 2
Source: RefSeq, a predicted model, not a curated record